Molecule: long non-coding RNA, 267 nt
Filed under: Physcomitrium patens
Lineage: Eukaryota; Viridiplantae; Streptophyta; Bryopsida; Funariales; Funariaceae
Description: long non-coding RNA (PPAT_LNC006021)
Source: RNAcentral
UGGCUCUAAGUACAAAAGCCAACUAUAGAAUAAUUCUUUAUUUCAACUAAUUACAAGUGACAUCUCACCUUCUCCUUUGAGCAUAGCAACCCUUUACUUUUCAUAAUAUUCACACACAAUCACCCCCUUGGUAUCCCCAUACACACAAUCCUCAACACCAUGCUUGCCCAUUCAUUCAAACCCCACACUCAUUACCCUCUUGAAGCAACCACAAACAAAAUGACCCACACCCCCAUUCAUCCAAACAAAAGCACCACACACAGCUAC